Molecule: long non-coding RNA, 3571 nt
Filed under: Lathyrus oleraceus (garden pea)
Lineage: Eukaryota; Viridiplantae; Streptophyta; Magnoliopsida; Fabales; Fabaceae
Description: Pisum sativum (pea) long non-coding RNA (PSAT_LNC021817)
Source: RNAcentral
UGACAGAGAAACUUUGCUGUACAACAGAAGUUUUCUUAAUUCUGAAUCACACUCACAUUUUUAUUUGGUCUAUAGUGGAGAAAUUGGAGAUGAGUGUCUCUGCUGCUUUGUAUAAAUUAUCUUUGGUGAACGAAUUCUUGACGACUUGAUUUGGCUCGCUUUUUUCUACAUUCUCCCAAGUGGAUAUUUAUCGAAGUGGGGAUGCCGAAAUUUUUUCCGUUUCAUAUGGACUGUAUAUUUGUUCCACAAUAGUCCUCCCUUGAUAUUGCAUGCACAACGUUGCUGAACAGAAUUGUGGAGCAUAUCUCUUCUCGCUGCGGCCUUCUCCGUUUUUAAUCAAAUUGUGGCCGUGUUUGAUUUGAUGAUCUACAUCUAAAGAGAGUUAUUCUUGCACUAUUUUACUGUUUGUUUCUUUUAUUUCUGUUAUAUUGGAAUAGGAAUUCGUUUCCUCUCUAAGGAUUUCAUUGGGCACCAGAAUUCAUUAAUGGAACCAUCAUGUUCUGCAGACUGUAAGAUAAUCUCUAAGGAAUUCGAGUCAUAAACGUUUCUGUAGAAAACUUGUUUCAUUUUGUAGAGUGAACAGCGUGGUUUGGGAAAGUAUCUCCAUCCGGUAAUUGUGCUUUGAUCAUAGUUGAGUCCAAAAUAGUUGCAAUUGAUGGCAUUGUUCCAAACAUAAAUAUUCUGUUGGUUGUGUCCUAUGUCUCACUAUUUCUAGAUGUUUAAUCAGGGAUCUAUGUCAAAAAAAAUCUUCUAUUUGUAUAUAGAUACUUUAUUCUUUAUUGUUAUAUUUAAUCUGAAGAUCAUUGUGAUUCAUAUAGAUUUUGGAAUUCAAUAUAGUAAUGUGGUGUUUGAUAGUGUUGUUGAGUUCAUUUUGGAUUUUGUUUUGGAUUAGUCAAAAGUUCAUUAAGACUUGCAGCAAUCUUUGUGUAAUCUAAUCUAGAUGUUCAGUCUGCUCAAUAUUGGUAAACGGACUAGAACACCGGCUCUCUUUCAUCUCAACUGUUGAUCUACAACUACUUGGUAGUCUACAGACAAACCAAAGAUGAGUAGUAUCUCAACUAUAUACGUGUGAUUCUGCGUCACAAUCAGGUAUUUUUUAAUUCAUUUUUUUAUUCAUAUUUUUAAAGUUUCACCUCAUUCAUAUACUAACUUGAGCGUCGGACUGCUAACCUUUUUUGCAGGUACCCCUCUGACCCCAAAACGAAAGUCUUACCGCGGUAGUUGUCUUCGUCUUCAGCCUUACAUCGUUUCAGUAUGGAAUAGUUAUAAUUGAAUGUUCUAAAUCUUCUUCAUAAUAGUCUUUUGCAUGCAUGCUGAAGUUCUGAUGUUUUUUUUUGUUUUGUCAAUGGAGUGCUAGAUAAUGUUUCUUAGAUUGCUGAUUGUGUUUACUUGAUAGAUUUGAGUUGCGACAGGUUGAUAGUGUUUUCUUAAUGGAUUUGCAUUGCGUUCAGGUUGCCGAUCGCGUUUUCUUAAUGGAUUUGCGAUGCAUGCUUCAGAUUGUUGAAGCACACACAUGAAACUGACUUGACACAAGUUUUCAUUUGAUAAGUAAGAGAUAUGUUUAACCAUUAUGCAGCAAAGCCAGGAUUAGCUUCAUAUCUAAAACCUUAAGAACAGAGAACAGCUCCAGAUAGAUAAAUCAAACUUCUUCAAAUUGAAUUUCGAACAUGUUUUGCUGCAGCAGCUUGGUUUGUCAAAACAAUAACCUUCUUCAAAGCAUGCAUCAGCCUGGCUUUUUGAUUUGGUGAUAUCUAUAAAAUAAUUUUUGUUUUCAAUUCUGAGAGCGUAUUUUUCUUGAAGUUGUCUUUUGAUCUUGUAUAAGUUGUUGAAGUUUGUGUUUCUUCCGUGUUGAGGUUUUUGUGUUUCUAUUAUCAGGGACUUAGAUCUUUGGCUAAGUGCAAAUUAUGGAAUUAGAUACCAUCUUUGAAUCUUUGAUAUAGCCCAAGCACGUCUCAGUGUCGUGUGUCAGAUACUGACGCUUCCUACUAUGGCUGCACUUUAAUUUGGUCAUCACUACCAAGACUUUUACGCUUUAGUCUUUGUUUGAUUUGAUACACAACAUCUACUUUUGUCGGAUUCUUUGAGUUGUGUGAGUUUUGCAGGGAGAUGCAUUUAUCCCGUUUCGCAGAAAGCAUGGUGGAUAUCCAGAAUGCCUUGAUACAACAACCAGAACAGGAAAUAACUCUAGAUAGCUAAAUCAAUUUUUUAUGGGUCAUUCUUUACUAUUUUUAUUUCCGACCUUUGAUUGCAAGGCAUACAAAUUAAUUUCUGAAGUGUUUUGCUUCAGCGUGGUUGUUUCCAACUAAUAACCUUCUUCAGGGCAUGGAGCUUAGCAUUUCAAUUUUUGAUUUGGUGAUCUCCAUUAAAUUCUUUUUAUAUUGAUUCUAUUUUUUGGUUCUGAAACCAUAUCUUCUUUGAUUUGGUGUUUACUCUCUGGUGUUGCAGGAUAUUUAAUAUGUUAACAGACGAUUUCUUCUUGUUCUAUUUUCCUCUUGUUUGAUCUUCAUGGCUGUUGAUUUUUGCUUUCUUGAUUCUUAGGUUUGAUUUGGUUUUUGUUAGUUUUGACCUUGGAAGUUACUGUCUACUAUUAUUUUGUUAGGGUUUUAAAUGAUUGUUCUUUUGUGUAUACAUAUGGGUGACCUUGGAAGUCACUUUUUUCUACAUUCUCCCAAGUGGAUAUUUAUCGAAGUGGGGAUGCCGAAAUUUUUACCGUUUCAUAUGGACUGUGUAUAUUUGUUCCACAAUAGUCCUCCUUUAUUGCAUGCUUAACAUUGCUGAACAGAAUUGUGGAGCAUAUCUCUUCUCGCUACCUUCUCCGUUUUUAAGCAAAUUGUGGCCGUGUUUGAUUUGAUGAUCUACAUCUAAAGAGAGUUAUUCUUGCACUCUUUUACUGUUUGUUUCUUUUAUUUCUGAUAUAUUGGAAUAGGAAUUCGUUUCCUCUCUAAGGAUUUCAUCGGGCACCAGAAUUCAUUAUUAGAACCAUCAUGUUCUGCAGACUGUAAGAUAAUCUCUAAGGAAUUCGAGUCAUACAUUUCUGUAGGAAACUUGUUUCAUUUUGUAGAGUGAACAGCGUGGUUUGGGAAAGUAUCUCCAUCCGGUGUUUGGUAAGGUAAAUUAUGCUCAUAUUGAGAUCCAAAGUAUGCAAUUUGAUGGCAAUUGUUCCAAACAUAAAUAUUUUGUUGGUUGUGUCCUAUGUUCUCACUAUUUCUAGAUUAUAAUCAGAAGAUCUAUAUAGUAAUGUGGUGUUUGUUAGUGGAUAUAGUACACAUCUUUAAGCGCAAGAUAUAUUAUCAGAUGAUUGACAAAGCAGUUUUGGUAUAUAAUUAUCAGAUGAUAGCACCAUUAUCACGAUUAUUUUACAUUAAUAGCCCAUCAUACAACAAUAUAUAUAAUAUACAUCUUUACUUUUGGAGUAUGCCAUUCCUUUUUUUAUGAUGCUUAGUGGAUUAGUCAAAAGUUCAUUAAGACUUGCAGCAACAACAAUAUAUAUAAUAUACAUCUUUACUUUUGGAGUAUGCCAUUCCUUUUUUUAUGAUGCUUAGUGGAUUAGUCAAAAGUUCAUUAAGACUUG